AUUGAACGCUGGCGGCAUGCCUUACACAUGCAAGUCGAACGGCAGCACGGACUUCGGUCUGGUGGCGAGUGGCGAACGGGUGAGUAAUGUAUCGGAACGUACCUUUCAGUGGGGGAUAACGUAGCGAAAGUUACGCUAAUACCGCAUAUUCUGUGAGCAGGAAAGCAGGGGAUCGAAAGACCUUGCGCUGAUUGAGCGGCCGAUAUCAGAUUAGCUAGUUGGUGGGGUAAAGGCCUACCAAGGCGACGAUCUGUAGCGGGUCUGAGAGGAUGAUCCGCCACACUGGAACUGAGACACGGUCCAGACUCCUACGGGAGGCAGCAGUGGGGAAUUUUGGACAAUGGGGGCAAGCCUGAUGCAGCCAUGCCGCGUGAGUGAAGAAGGCCUUCGGGUUGUAAAGCUCUGUCGGCCGGGAAGAAAUCGCAUAGGCUAAUACCCUGUGUGGAUGACGGUACCGGAACAGGAAGCACUGGCUAACUACGUG
This 484-nucleotide ribosomal RNA is filed under the name uncultured bacterium. RNAcentral's name for it is "partial 16S ribosomal RNA". It matches the Rfam family "Bacterial small subunit ribosomal RNA", at positions 30 to 507 of the family's 1533-position model. The record is from RNAcentral.